Long non-coding RNA from Herpailurus yagouaroundi (jaguarundi), 937 nucleotides. RefSeq lists it as uncharacterized. The record is from RefSeq and is a predicted model, not a curated record. The transcript has 3 exons. Lineage: Eukaryota; Metazoa; Chordata; Mammalia; Carnivora; Felidae.
CCCUUGAAGACGAUUCAAGUUAGCCUGGGGUACCCUCUCUGCUUUCCACUCCCCAACUGGGAUUAACUUUGGAAUCUUCUGUAGCUGUAGAGAAACUGGGGGCUCUCCAAUCCUAGCCUGGGUAAACACUACUUCAAGACAAAUCGGAAUGGCCUUGCACUGUAAAAGCAGGGAAGGCAGAUGGGAAAUAAGUCCACUCGUUUAGGUAGGAGAUAUUCUACAAUAUAGCCUUGUUCUUAGAACACAGCAGAAUGAGAGGUCUGGGAUUUUCCUCAGAAUUGCUAAAAGCAAUCUACAGAUGAAGAGAAACUGCUAAACGAUAAGCUGAUGGUCAUUGUUUCUCCCCCCUCCAAAAAAAAGAAAGAAAGGAAAAAAAAGACGCCUCAAGGUCAUUCCCCUGCUCCCCAGAAAACGCUCCCCGCAGAAUUAAAAUUCCUGAAACUCAAACCAUGCGAUCUGACCAGACGCCCCGAAGACGGUUCGUGGGAGACGAGGCUCAAGCUUUUGGCUCGAGGUGAGAUGUGGAAUCUUCUCUGGAUCUCAGACUCUUUCUCGACCAACAAUGCAUGUGUUUUAGAUGUUUGGCAAGGAGCUUGGUUUUCCCUGGGUGAUCGUGUACAGAAAGAGGGUGAUGACCUCCAGGAACCAAAGUCUUUGGCUCAGACAACAAGCACGUAUUGACAACUCUUUCUACACACCAGAGACGCUUCGGGAAUAUAACACAGUGUCCCAGCGCUCCUGGGGGCUGUCCACCUAGACACGAGGAAUAACUAAAAAGGCUAAGACAUCAUUAAAGUCACAGAUUCCACCAUCUAAAAAAAACCAUCCAAACAGGGUUUCGGGUAUAAACAUGUAUGAGAAAAACAGCUUCAACUUCUCCGUGUGGGUCGCUGCUCACCUGUUAAAUGUCCACGUCUUUCCUAUCUUUGAAAAUCCA